GUCCCGGGGUUCUGGAACUAUGACGGUGAGGUCAUUCAUUCAGUGUUGUCCCGGGGUUCUGGAACUAUGACGGUGAGGUCAUUCAUUCAGUGUUGUCCCGGGGUUCUGGAACUAUGACGGUGAGGUCAUUCAUUCAGUGUUGUCCCGGGGUUCUGGAACUAUGACGGUGAGGUCAUUCAUUCGGUGUUGUCCCGGGGUUCUGGAACUAUGACAGUGAGGUCAUUCAUUCUGUGUUGUUCCGGGGUUCUGGAACUAUGACAGUGAGGUCAUUCAUUCAGUGUUGUCCCGGGGUUCUGGAACUAUGACAGUGAGGACAUUCAUUCGGUGUUGUCCCGGGGUUCUGGAACUAUGACAGUGAGGUCAUUCAUUCGGUGUUGUCCCGGGGUUCUGGAACUAUGACG
Oncorhynchus tshawytscha (Chinook salmon) is the source of this 401-nucleotide long non-coding RNA. Lineage: Eukaryota; Metazoa; Chordata; Actinopteri; Salmoniformes; Salmonidae. The record is from Ensembl.